RNAcentral lists this ribosomal RNA (536 nucleotides) under uncultured archaeon. Its description in RNAcentral is "bacterial SSU rRNA". It matches the Rfam family "Archaeal small subunit ribosomal RNA", at positions 374 to 916 of the family's 1478-position model. The record is from RNAcentral.
AGUUAAUCCGAGUGUCUCCUGGUAAAGGAGUCUUUUGUCAGUUGUAGAAUCACUGGUGAAUAAGGGGUGGGCAAGUUCUGGUGUCAGCCGCCGCGGUAAAACCAGCACCUCGAGUGGUCAGGAGGUUUAUUGGGCCUAAAGCAUCCGUAGCCGGUUGCAUAAGUUUUCGGUUAAAUCUAUGCGCUUAACGUAUAGGCCGCCGAAAAUACUGUGCAGCUAGGGAGUGGGAGAGGUACACGGUACUCGAUAGGAAGGGGUAAAAUCCUUUGAUCUAUUGAAGACCACCUGUGGCGAAGGCGGUGUACCAGAACACGUUCGACGGUGAGGGAUGAAAGCUGGGGGAGCAAACCGGAUUAGAUACCCGGGUAGUCCCAGCUGUAAACGAUGCAGACUCGGUGAUGCAUUGGCUUGUGGCCAAUGCAGUGCCGCAGGGAAGCCGUUAAGUCUGCCGCCUGGGAAGUACGUACGCAAGUAUGAACUUAAGGAUUGGCGGGGGAGCACCACAAGGGGUGAGCCUGCGGUCAAUUGGAGUCACG